CUUCAAAAUCCAAUUCUUCUUCCUCAUAACUAGAUGGAUCAAAUUCUUCUUCAACAUGUUCAAGGAUUAAUUCUUGAUUCCGUUAUUUGAAAAAUUUUAUACGUUUUCCUGCAUUUGGAAUUUUGAGUCUUGUUCCAUCUAAUUCCUUUAAUGCAUAUGUAGCAUUAUCUAAAACAUGUACAACCACAUAAGGCCCAAACCAACGCUUAGAGAAC
Molecule: long non-coding RNA, 215 nt
Filed under: Physcomitrium patens
Lineage: Eukaryota; Viridiplantae; Streptophyta; Bryopsida; Funariales; Funariaceae
Description: long non-coding RNA (PPAT_LNC012943)
Source: RNAcentral